This 403-nucleotide ribosomal RNA is filed under the name bacterium. RNAcentral's name for it is "partial 16S ribosomal RNA". It matches the Rfam family "Bacterial small subunit ribosomal RNA", at positions 355 to 776 of the family's 1533-position model. The record is from RNAcentral.
UGGGGAAUAUUGCACAAUGGGGGAAACCCUGAUGCAGCGACGCCGCGUGAACGAAGAAGGUAUUCGUAUCGUAAAGUUCUGUCCUAUGGGAAGAUAAUGACAGUACCAUAGAAGAAAGCUCCGGCUAAAUACGUGCCAGCAGCCGCGGUACUACGUAUGGAGCGAGCGUUGUCCGGAAUUAUUGGGCGUAAAGGGUACGCAGGCGGUUUAAUAAGUCGAAUGUUAAAGAUCGGGGCUCAACCCCGCAAAGCAUUGGAAACUGAUAAACUUGAGUAGUGGAGAGGAGAGUGGAAUUCCUAGUGUAGUGGUGAAAUACGUAGAUAUUAGGAGGAAUACCAGUAGCGAAGGCGACUUUCUGGACACAAACUGACGCUGAGGUACGAAAGCGUGGGGAGCAAACAAG